RNAcentral lists this ribosomal RNA (230 nucleotides) under uncultured bacterium. RNAcentral's name for it is "partial 16S ribosomal RNA". It matches the Rfam family "Bacterial small subunit ribosomal RNA", at positions 100 to 334 of the family's 1533-position model. The record is from RNAcentral.
CGGGACGGGUGAGUAAUGUCUGGGAAACUGCCUGAUGGAGGGGGAUAACUACUGGAAACGGUAGCUAAUACCGCAUAACGUCGCAAGACCAAGAGGGGACCUUCGGGCCUCUUGCCAUCGGAUGUGCCCAGAUGGGAUUAGCUAGUAGGUGGGGUAACGGCUCACCUAGGCGACGAUCCCUAGCUGGUCUGAGAGGAUGACCAGCCACACUGGACUGAGACACGGUCCAG